RNAcentral lists this ribosomal RNA (465 nucleotides) under uncultured bacterium. RNAcentral describes it as "partial 16S ribosomal RNA". It matches the Rfam family "Bacterial small subunit ribosomal RNA", at positions 338 to 795 of the family's 1533-position model. The record is from RNAcentral.
CCUACGGGUGGCAGCAGUGGGGAAUAUUGCGCAAUGGGCGAAAGCCUGACGCAGCGACGCCGCGUGAGGGAUGAAGGUCUUCGGAUCGUACACCUCUGUCAGCAGGGAAGAACGGUCACUGUGCUAAUCAGCAGUGAAUUGACGGUACCUGCAAAGGAAGCACCGGCUAACUCCGUGCCAGCAGCCGCGGUAAGACGGAGGGUGCGAGCGUUAAUCGGAAUUACUGGGCGUAAAGCGCUCGUAGGCGGUAUGUCAAGUCAAGGGUGACAUGCCCGCGCGCAACGUGGGAACUGCCUUUGAAACUGGCAAACUGGAGUGUGGGAGAGGAUAGUGGAAUUCCAGGUGUAGGAGUGAAAUCCGUAGAUAUCUGGAGGAACAUCAGUGGCGAAGGCGACUAUCUGGCACAUAACUGACGCUGAGGAGCGAAAGCGUGGGUAGCAAACAGGAUUAGAUACCCCGGUAGUC